Molecule: non-coding RNA, 219 nt
Organism: Phasianus colchicus (ring-necked pheasant)
Lineage: Eukaryota; Metazoa; Chordata; Aves; Galliformes; Phasianidae
Source: RefSeq, a predicted model, not a curated record
AUAUUCAUCUUGCCAUCAACUAGAAGCCCCAAAUCCCUUUUCCAUAGAGCUGUUCUCUGGCCUCUCACCCCCCAGUCUCUCAGGUUGUCCUGUUCCAGAUGAACUUUCUGGCUGAAGAUUCUCUAACUCCGCAGUGAAGCCCAGCACCUGAACUGACAUGAGAUAAUUCCCAGCACCUCUGAUAGCCCUCUUGAAAAAUAUAAUAGCUUACAGCAAUUA